UACGGAAGGGGCAAGCGUUGCUCGGAAUCAUUGGGCGUAAAGGGCGCGCAGGUGGCUCUGUAUGUCUGCCGUGAAAGCAUACAGCUCAACUGUAUUGUGUCGGUAGAAACUGCAGGACUUGAGGCUGGGAGGGGCUGGUGGAAUUCCCUGUGUAGCGGUGAAAUGCGUAGAGAUGGGGGAGAACACUCGUGGCGAAGGCGGCCAGCUAGACCAGUUCUGACACUGAGGCGCGACAGCGUGGGGAGCAAACAGG
RNAcentral lists this ribosomal RNA (253 nucleotides) under uncultured bacterium. Its description in RNAcentral is "partial 16S ribosomal RNA". It matches the Rfam family "Bacterial small subunit ribosomal RNA", at positions 524 to 776 of the family's 1533-position model. The record is from RNAcentral.